CUACGGGUGGCUCCAGUAAGGAAUAUUGGGCAAUGGACGCAAGUCUGACCCAGCCAUGCCGCGUGCAGGAUGACAGCCCUACGGGUUGUAAACUGCUUUUAUACGGGAAAAAACCCCUGCACGAGUUGCGGGGUUGAUGGUACCGUAAGAAUAAGCAUCGGCUAACUCCGUGCCAGCAGCCGCGGUAAUACGGAGGAUGCAAGCGUUAUCCGGAUUCAUUGGGUUUAAAGGGUGCGUAGGCGGAAUGAUAAGUCAGUGGUGAAAUCCUACAGCUUAACUGUAGAACUGCCAUUGAUACUGUUGUUCUUGAGUACAUUUGAAGUGGGCGGAAUGUGUCAUGUAGCGGUGAAAUGCAUAGAGAUGACACAGAACACCGAUCGCGAAGGCAGCUCACUAAACUGUAACUGACGCUGAGGCACGAAAGCGUGGGGAUCAAACAGGAUUAGAUACCCGAGUAGUC
This 460-nucleotide ribosomal RNA is filed under the name uncultured bacterium. RNAcentral describes it as "partial 16S ribosomal RNA". It matches the Rfam family "Bacterial small subunit ribosomal RNA", at positions 339 to 795 of the family's 1533-position model. The record is from RNAcentral.